GACGAACGCUGGCGGCGUGCUUAACACAUGCAAGUCGAACGGUAAGGCCCUUCGGGGUACACGAGUGGCGAACGGGUGAGUAACACGUGGGUGAUCUGCCCUGCACUUCGGGAUAGCCAUCGGAAACGGUGGGUAAUUCCGCGUACGCCCGGUUGCCUGUGGGGCGAUCGGGGAAAGGCGCAAGACACCCGGGGAGGAGCCUGCGGCCGAUUAGCUGGUUGGUGGGGUAACGGCCUAGCAAGGCGAGGAUCGGUAGCUGGUCUGAGAGGACGGCCAGCCAAACGGGGACUGAGAGACGGCCCCGACUCCUACGGGAGGCAGCAGCAAGGAAUCUUCCGCAAUGGGCGAAAGCCUGACGGAGCAACGCCGCGUGGGGGAGGACGCUUUUCGGAGUGUAAACCCCUUUUCUCGGGGACGAAGCACUGACGGUACCCGAGGAAGAAGGACCGGCUAACUACGUGCCAGCAGCCGCCGUAA
This 477-nucleotide ribosomal RNA is filed under the name uncultured bacterium. Its description in RNAcentral is "partial 16S ribosomal RNA". It matches the Rfam family "Bacterial small subunit ribosomal RNA", at positions 28 to 523 of the family's 1533-position model. The record is from RNAcentral.